This is a non-coding RNA of Mycena rebaudengoi, 91 nucleotides long. NCBI's taxonomy places the organism in Eukaryota, Fungi, Basidiomycota, Agaricomycetes, Agaricales, Mycenaceae. The record is from the annotation of a GenBank genome assembly.
GGCCCAGUGGCGGAUGGUCUGCGUCUGCUGAACUUAUCGAAAUUGUCAGGUACAUAUGCAGAAGACGCUCGUUCGACUCGAGCCUGGGCCA